This 453-nucleotide ribosomal RNA is filed under the name Triticum aestivum (bread wheat). Its description in RNAcentral is "partial small subunit ribosomal RNA". Lineage: Eukaryota; Viridiplantae; Streptophyta; Magnoliopsida; Poales; Poaceae. The record is from RNAcentral.
AUGGGUUACGUCUACGUCGAUGUCACCCCAAAUACAUACACGUCGGGCAUGAAAGUAGUCGACCCAGCUGAGACAAAGGAAACUGGCUACAUGGGAUUCGCACGACACAGGAUGACCUGUGGCAAAAAAAUGGCAUCAGGCCUUGCCGAGGCGCAUAAAAUGCUCAAAAACCGUGAUUAUCACAACGGCAUAAUCUUGUUCUUCUCUGAUGAAUUGAUAAACAAGGGCGACUUUUUUGAUGGAACCGACAACUUCAUCUCCAAAGUGCCUGUCCACACAUUUACUGUCGGUGGCGACACAUAUAACCAUGGUCUCCAAGCCAUCGCAACAAAUUCUCCAGGUGGGACAUUCAACGCAAUUCCAGUUCCAGAGAGACCGCAUCUCUCAGUGCCCUUCUCGAAACUACUGGAUAGCCUCCUUAGCGGCACAAUGGAGGACAGAAAUCAUCAAUAG